GAUGAACGCUGGCGGCGUGCCUAAUACAUGCAAGUAGAACGCUGAAGGAAGGAGCUUGCUCUUUCCGGAUGAGUUGCGAACGGGUGAGUAACGCGUAGGUAACCUGCCUGGUAGCGGGGGAUAACUAUUGGAAACGAUAGCUAAUACCGCAUAACAGUAGAUGUUGCAUGAUAUCUACUUAAAAGGUGCAAUUGCACCACUACCAGAUGGACCUGCGUUGUAUUAGCUAGUUGGUGAGGUAACGGCUCACCAAGGCGACGAUACAUAGCCGACCUGAGAGGGUGAUCGGCCACACUGGGACUGAGACACGGCCCAGACUCCUACGGGAGGCAGCAGUAGGGAAUCUUCGGCAAUGGACGGAAGUCUGACCGAGCAACGCCGCGUGAGUGAAGAAGGUUUUCGGAUCGUAAAGCUCUGUUGUAAGAGAAGAACGAGUGUGAGAGUGGAAAGUUCACACUGUGACGGUAUCUUACCAGAAAGGGACGGCUAACUACGUG
RNAcentral lists this ribosomal RNA (497 nucleotides) under uncultured bacterium. RNAcentral's name for it is "partial 16S ribosomal RNA". It matches the Rfam family "Bacterial small subunit ribosomal RNA", at positions 28 to 507 of the family's 1533-position model. The record is from RNAcentral.